UAUAAGCCACCGCACCUGGCCUAUGUAGACGUUUUAAAAUUUUUUCCAUAAAUUAUUUUAUACUCCUCCCUUCAAAAGGUAGAGCUUAAUUUUCCUCUCAAGUGUGGGUUGAUUUGCUUCUUAUCAACAGAAUAUGGCAGAAGUAAUGGGAAGUCACUUCUAAGAACAGGUUAUAAAAAGACUGGUUUUGUCUUGGUAUUUGUUCUGUUGGAUCACUUAGUUUGGGAGAAGCUAUAUUGGGAGGAUACUGAGAAAGUUUAUGGCAGGACCCUAUGGUGAGAUUAUGGAGGCCCCGACCUCCUGCCAAAAACCACAAGGAAGCAGAUCCUUCAGCUCCAGCCAAGCCAUGAGACACCUUGAGCCAGAAACCACCCAGAUCAACUGGAUACCUGCUCCAACGCCCCUGGAUACCUGACCCUCAGAAACUGUGUCAAAUAAUAAAUUUUUGUUAUUUUAAGGUGACAAGUUUUGGGGUAACUUGUUACAUAGGGUUAGAGAACUAAUACAACAGCCCUCUCUUUCCCCCAUACACAUCCCAUUAUUUCCACCAUCACCUAGAGCCUUGCCAUAUAAGUCUGUCCUCUGGGUCCAGAAAAUGAAGCUUGCUCUUUUGGAAUGGAUAUGGCUUGGCAAAGCCCUUUUGGAGUAGGUCUAAGACAAAGCUUUUUCAACACAAAAUUUUGUUUUUUGAACAGUUUGCAUGUUAGAAAAGGAUUUCCUAUGGAAAAUGAUGCAAGAAGAAGCAGGAUAGGUGAUCAGUUUUUAGAGCUGAAAAGAAUAAAAGGCAGAAUUUCACAAGAAAAGGAGGAAUAUCUCCACCUCAUAUGUCUUUUAGUUAACAGGAGGCUGGUAACCCACUGGUUCUAAAAUGACCUAUCUCAUUCCAUAUGCAUCUCUCAAAGAGGAGAGUAAAAAUAAUUUUUUUUCCCAAAGGCUUUAGAUCAGUUUGGUGAUGGGCUCUCUCCUGCAUAACAGCCAUUUUCUUAACACUAAGAAUUUGAACAAUUAGAUCAUUUUUCCUCCAAAAGAUUUCCUGAUAACAAAGAGUAGAUCCCCUUUCGCACACCACAAAUUCUACUCAAGUCUUGGCAUCUGCUUUAAGCAUGACAUUGAUGACAUUCCUUUAGUCAGAACUGGGCAUGACUCUGCAGGCAAUGGAUGUUAUUUCAAACCACUGUCUGGAAGCAAGAUGGAUAAAGGUGGGUACAGGGCUCCACAAGGACCUGCCAAGUGAGGAGAAGCGUUCAUGCUGGAAAAGCAAACCUUUUCUUAGGUUUUCUUUUCCACUUUGUAAACCAAACAGGUUACACUCAAGGGACAGGACUUAACAAAGGACACUGCUCAUGUACUGCAAUAAACAGCCUGCCAUUUUUCAUACGGACUGGAACUGAGGCAGACAGGGUAAUCUUAGCUGACUCUCUGUUCACCUGCCCAUUUGAUUCCAGACAAACACCUGGUGUGGUUUCUCUCUCCUGCUUCCCUUCCCAGUGACCACUCUGCAGCAAGCCCCGGGAGCUUUGUAUGAAGAAGCUAUUCCUUUUCAAAUCCCUAACCCUUUCUCCUGAUUGCUCCUCCAAAUCUGUGGCCAGUGCAGCAAGUCCUGUGAAGACAGUAAGGAGGUAGCAGGAGGAGGCUAAAAAUGGUGACAUCAAGGAAUAGAAACUGGUGGCUUAAGAGAAGGCUUGGUAGAGUGAACUUUGGCUCGGUGGGAGAAUCCUAACAUGGCAUAGUUUCAAGCUUUAUCUCCCUUCCCAGAAAGAAAACGGUCCCAACAUCCUCACACUGUAAGGUGUAUACUCAAGAAAGUAAAAAGACUUAAAGAUGGUUGAGGGCAGAUUCAAGAUGGCCAAAUAGGAACAGCUCCAGUCUGCAGCUCCCAGCCAGAUCGAC
Homo sapiens (human) is the source of this 1890-nucleotide long non-coding RNA. RefSeq lists it as uncharacterized. The record is from RefSeq and is a predicted model, not a curated record. NCBI's taxonomy places the organism in Eukaryota, Metazoa, Chordata, Mammalia, Primates, Hominidae. The transcript has 3 exons.